Molecule: ribosomal RNA, 128 nt
Filed under: Spiroplana sp.
Lineage: Eukaryota; Fungi; Ascomycota; Dothideomycetes; Pleosporales
Description: partial large subunit ribosomal RNA
Source: RNAcentral
GUCCGAGUUGUAAUUUGCAGAGGGUGCUUUGGCGUCGAGCGCGGUCUAAGUUCCUUGGAACAGGACGUCACAGAGGGUGAGAAUCCCGUAUGUGGUCGCCGAUCUUCGCCAUGUAAAGCCCCUUCGAC